This 640-nucleotide ribosomal RNA is filed under the name Vibrio sp. RNAcentral describes it as "bacterial SSU rRNA". It matches the Rfam family "Bacterial small subunit ribosomal RNA", at positions 73 to 708 of the family's 1533-position model. Lineage: Bacteria; Pseudomonadati; Pseudomonadota; Gammaproteobacteria; Vibrionales; Vibrionaceae. The record is from RNAcentral.
UCGGGGAACGAUAACGGCGUCGAGCGGCGGACGGGUGAGUAAUGCCUAGGAAAUUGCCCUGAUGUGGGGGAUAACCAUUGGAAACGAUGGCUAAUACCGCAUGAUGCCUACGGGCCAAAGAGGGGGACCUUCGGGCCUCUCGCGUCAGGAUAUGCCUAGGUGGGAUUAGCUAGUUGGUGAGGUAAGGGCUCACCAAGGCGACGAUCCCUAGCUGGUCUGAGAGGAUGAUCAGCCACACUGGAACUGAGACACGGUCCAGACUCCUACGGGAGGCAGCAGUGGGGAAUAUUGCACAAUGGGCGCAAGCCUGAUGCAGCCAUGCCGCGUGUGUGAAGAAGGCCUUCGGGUUGUAAAGCACUUUCAGUCGUGAGGAAGGUGGUGUAGUUAAUAGCUGCAUUAUUUGACGUUAGCGACAGAAGAAGCACCGGCUAACUCCGUGCCAGCAGCCGCGGUAAUACGGAGGGUGCGAGCGUUAAUCGGAAUUACUGGGCGUAAAGCGCAUGCAGGUGGUUUGUUAAGUCAGAUGUGAAAGCCCGGGGCUCAACCUCGGAAUAGCAUUUGAAACUGGCAGACUAGAGUACUGUAGAGGGGGGUAGAAUUUCAGGUGUAGCGGUGAAAUGCGUAGAGAUCUGAAGGAAUA